Molecule: ribosomal RNA, 491 nt
Filed under: uncultured bacterium
Lineage: Bacteria
Description: partial 16S ribosomal RNA
Rfam family: Bacterial small subunit ribosomal RNA
Source: RNAcentral
AGUGAACGCUGGCGGUAGGCCUAACACAUGCAAGUCGAACGGCAGCACAGUAAGAGCUUGCUCUUACGGGUGGCGAGUGGCGGACGGGUGAGGAAUACAUCGGAAUCUACUUUUUCGUGGGGGAUAACGUAGGGAAACUUACGCUAAUACCGCAUACGACCUACGGGUGAAAGCAGGGGAUCUUCGGACCUUGCGCGAUUGAAUGAGCCGAUGUCGGAUUAGCUAGUUGGCGGGGUAAAGGCCCACCAAGGCGACGAUCCGUAGCUGGUCUGAGAGGAGGAUCAGCCACUCUCGAGAUGAGGCACGGUCCAGGCUCCUACGGGAGGCCGCAGUGGGGAAUAUUGGACGAUGGGCGCAAGACUGUUCCAGCCAUGCCGCGUGGGUGAAGGAGGCCUUCGGGUUGUAAAGCCCUUUUGUUGGGAAAGAAAAGCAGCAGGUUAAUACCCCGCUGUUCUGACGGUACCCAAAGAAUAAGCACCGGCUAACUUCGU